CAAGAGAAAGAGAAAAGGAGGCAAGCACCAACCAGAGGUCCAUUAUGCAGCAUUGAAAUUAAGCGUCCGUGAUAAUGUUUUCGAUACGCCAGUGAGUGGUGCAGCAGAUACCUUUCCAGUUGCUAGUAGCUUGUGGAGUUUUAUCUUGAUGAGCAUAUUGCUUCAUUUCAUCUAUUAAAUUUUGGAAAACGCGUGUCAAGUGGUGUUGUUCAUAGUAUUCUUCAUUGUGUUCAAUGAGGCAAAUUAAUCUUAAUAACACUAUUAGCCUUCGACCUUAGUCCCGCGCGGCACAAGAUACGUGUAUGAUCAUUGCUAAUAUUUUUGAAGUGCACGAAGAUGGACAUUUUCAAUUUUCAACUUGUGAAUCUGAGUUUUUUUUGUAAAUUCGUCCUGAAUAAGCAUUGUAUCUCUGAUUUGUAAUUGAUAAAUUGUUGAAUAAAUCAUUUUGUCAUACAAAA
Molecule: long non-coding RNA, 458 nt
Organism: Mizuhopecten yessoensis (Yesso scallop)
Lineage: Eukaryota; Metazoa; Mollusca; Bivalvia; Pectinida; Pectinidae
Exons: 2
Source: RefSeq, a predicted model, not a curated record